CGGGAGCCGCUUUCAGUGGGGACUUGAAUGCACUAACUGCUGACUCUCAGGACCUUCUAGAAGGAGGAGCUGGGCUCCCACUUUCUGAGCUCUGCUGGAACCGAUGCCCAAGGUCACCUGGGUCAUGAUGUUGAAUAUAUACAUGUGAGGAGAGGAUUGGUGCCCUGCUGUCUUCACUGGCACUCCCCAUCUUGUACACACAGUGGCUGCCUACUGCAGUUGCCUGCAGCUCUAUGCCUGAGGGUGUCCAUUGGCUUCCUUGGCUUCUUUGACUGUGGAAGUGAGCUCUUCUGCCAGAUGCAGGCUUGUUUCUGGGGAGAAAUCCUGAGCCAAACUCAGAGGAACAGGAGCUGCUUUCAGUUGGGACUUGAAUGCACUAACUGCUGACUCUCAGGACCUUCUAGAAGAAUGAGCUGGGGUCCCACUCUCCGAUUUCUGCGGGAACCAGAGGCCCAGCUUGUCCAUAUUUUGCUUGACCAUUUCAUCCUUGGCCCUGAUGUUCUUGUAAUUCUGUGGAAGCUUACCAUUAUUAUUGCCUCCUUGGGAAUUUGUGCAUUUCUCAUUUACCUCUGGAGAACUGUCCUUGCUGUGGGUCCAGAUGUGAGAGGGUUUCCUCAGCCCACCUGCAUGCCCUCUCAUAUGGGCCAAACUUUACCAGGCUUCAUUGGCUCUGGGCUACCUCAGCCUCCUCCACCUUGGUCGACAUGGGGGCCUCCCCCGCACCUCGUUCCUACAUGUGGGCCUCAGUUCCAUUCAGAAGGCUGUGGCGCUCAAGGGGACAACAGUGGCACCGCACCCAAGAAGGACCCAGAAAAGGACAAGGUAAAUACGGUGGCUGUUUCCAGUUGUAACCAUUUCUGGAAUCCUGUUCCUGUCUGGGCAGCACUGUGUCCUGGCCUUGUGUCUGUUGGGUAUAUCUUGGGAUCUGUGUGUGGUGCUGUUUACCUUUUAAAAUGCCAAGUCUUCAUGCAGGAGCCUACAGGCUUCUGUGUUUCCAGUUCGUCACCUUUGGGAUGUGUCGGUGGAACAAAGGCAGAGUUUGUGCAGAGGUCUUGACAUUGCAAGGGAAACCCUGCCUGAGAUGUUUUAAUAUCCUGAAGUUUCUCAGGACAUAAUGCAUUGUGCUUGGCUAUUUCCUCACACUGAGCAGUGGGGCAGGUGCCACUGUUGGGAAGGAAGUGUCUCUGUUGCACAAUGGCAGACAUGUGGACUCUGGACAUGCACGACAGUAAGAAAUACAUUUGUUGUUCUGGGAGGAAUGAAACACCUCUCACUUCAUGUGCAGUGUGUUGAGUUUGACCUGACAUUUCAUUAGUUAUAGAAACCACUGAAGUGGGGCUCUGGUCCCUUGAUUCAUCGUUAGGGUUGGGGUCUGCCCCAUCCUCUGCAACCUGUGGAUACUUGGGGGAAGCCCUCUUGUCCGGUCAGGGAGGUGAGAACGAGAGGCAGUGGCAGAUGCUGGAGGCAGGUGUGGAGGUUUUGUGGGAAUGUGGCUCAGUCACUUCCUAUGGGCUUGUCCUCUGUCUUUUCUGUGGCGUGUGUCAGAGACAGACGCCGGUGUGUCCCCCAUAAGGAAUAGCAGUCCUGCGUGCAGGCGUCUCAUGUCAUGGGGGAGUGAAUGUUGCUGAGGACGUGAUCACUUUCUCCAAGUUGCUCAGGAGAUCCAUUUGAUGGACUUCAUCUUUCACUCCUACUGAGGUGGUUGGCAGGUCCCUUUGCGGUGAAGGAGAGCCUCUCUUCUCCGAGAGCUCAGCACAGCAGGUGUGCGCACGGACGCUGUACAGAGACCAUAUCCUGCGCUCUGGAAGG
Molecule: long non-coding RNA, 1809 nt
Filed under: Ursus americanus (American black bear)
Lineage: Eukaryota; Metazoa; Chordata; Mammalia; Carnivora; Ursidae
Description: lncRNA (ENSUAMG00000005799.1)
Source: RNAcentral